AGGCACACACACAAACACAUGCACACACAAGUGUACAUGCACACUCAUAACUGUGACAACGCACAUACAUGCACAUCGGGUUUGCAUUCCAAUCCGUCUGCCUUUUGUGAAGAUGACACUCCGGUGGUGACGUGUUCCCAGAUCUCGUGGAGGUGAAAUCUGAACAAUCUUCAAAAAGAGAAAAGCUCUUUUGAUCAGUCCUGGUACAGAUCUGCACUGGUGCCACUGAGGGUUAAGUGAUGUAGGCCGAACCAGGACCUGGAGUUUGAGUGACUGAGCUGCGAGUGGUCCCCAGUGUCCCUCUGCAUUAUGAGCUGCUUCCGAAGAACAACUGCUUUGAGUCGGGGACAAGAGCCGGGUCCCCAGAAUCUUCCCAGAGUAAGGGGAUCCUGCCCUGGGAGACAGUCGGACCACUUAGGGGUUGACUUCUGACCGGGCUUUCAUAACGAUGCCAAGCAGGCAACAAGGACUUCUCAAUGUGACGCGAUGGCAGGCUGCCCGCUGAACACCAGAGCCCGGGCAGAAUGAGACUCGCAGUGCUGCCCUGGAUGCAUGAAUAUGCAAACAGCAGGGGAAGUGAACCCAUGGAUCAAAAUGUGCUUUUUCCUGUAGCACAGAAAGCUGUUUUCAGACCUGCACUGAAGUUUGGGUAUUUCCCCGAAAUGUUCCAGAGGGGCUGGAUUUAGGAGCUCAACGUCUGAGUCAGUUGCUCCGGACUUUUUCCCUGAGCUUCUCCCGUCAGCCCCCAAAUAAAAUGUCCACAAAACAGUGACCCAUGUUAUUACACUGCUGGUAAUUUCCCAGAAACUUCCCAGUAAACCAGUGGCCAGACAGACAAGAAGAUUCUAGAGCUGGUGGCGAAUGUGUCAAUGUGCUGUAAACAAAAACUAAAAAGUUGGUCUGCAUUCUUCAGACCAGCUGGACUUCAACAGGUUAAUGUAAGAGCCCAUCUGAGCAAUAACUUUAUGAAAACUUGAUUUAAAUACCUCAAACGAGCUGAUCAGAAAAUGUUAAGUUCAGUUUAACAGCUGUGUAUCUGUUCCCCAAUAAUAAUAAAGAUAUGUCCUUCAUUAUCCCCUUUGCAAAAUGUUGCCAGGUGCCUAGCACGACAUUUCCUUGUUGCUGAUAAGUUUCUUUAUCUCGGCCUGUGACACAGUUUAUGGAAACUUAAUCCAGAAUCUCCUCCAGAUCUCUGUCCAAGGAAAACAAGCUCCGGUCCAAACAGUGAGACCGUUUCUACACACAUUAGAGUUAAGUAGCCAUGGGAAGCUUAUCCAUUAAAACAAAUAUGAUAAACUGGAUUUUAAUCAUCACUGCACACCAGUCUGUGUCACACACACACAUACACACACUGGCUGUAUACACAAACCCAGUGACCCUGCUGGGUUGCCAUAACUACCGCUCCAUGUCAACAAAACAUGUCCGCCGGCAUGAGACGUUUAUAUUGAACAUGGUGAAAGAGAGACAGAGGGGUCCGCCUGGAAGCAGCGUGGGCCGCCAUUCUGGAAACUAAUUUAGCAUAAAGGAAGUUCAAUCCAAACAUGUACAAAAUCAACCGCGGGACAACAAUGACGUUGUGCGUUUCCUGGAAUGCUCGGUGUCAAAACACGUCCAGCCCUGAUGAGCCGAUUCAUAUUCAUGAGCUGCCUGCGGUUUCA
Molecule: long non-coding RNA, 1658 nt
Organism: Platichthys flesus (European flounder)
Lineage: Eukaryota; Metazoa; Chordata; Actinopteri; Pleuronectiformes; Pleuronectidae
Exons: 3
Source: RefSeq, a predicted model, not a curated record